This 372-nucleotide ribosomal RNA is filed under the name uncultured prokaryote. RNAcentral describes it as "bacterial SSU rRNA". It matches the Rfam family "Bacterial small subunit ribosomal RNA", at positions 524 to 896 of the family's 1533-position model. The record is from RNAcentral.
UACGUAGGGUGCAAGCGUUAAUCGGAAUUACUGGGCGUAAAGCGUGCGCAGGCGGAUAUAUAAGUCAGAUGUGAAAUCCCCCGGCUCAACCUGGGAACAGCAUUUGAGACUGUAUAGCUAGAGUACGGUAGAGGGGGAUGGAAUUCCGCGUGUAGCAGUGAAAUGCGUAGAUAUGCGGAGGAACACCGAUGGCGAAGGCAAUCCCCUGGACCUGUACUGACGCUCAUGCACGAAAGCGUGGGGAGCAAACAGGAGUAGAUACCCUGGGAGUCCACGCCCUAAACGAUGUCAACUGGUUGUUGGGUCUUAACUGACUCAGUAACGAAGCGAACGCGAGAAGUUGACCGCCUGGGGAGUACGGCCGCAAGGUUG